GACGAACGCUGGCGGCGUGCCUAAUACAUGCAAGUAGAACGCACAGUUUAUACCGUAGCUUGCUACACCAUAGACUGUGAGUUGCGAACGGGUGAGUAACGCGUAGGUAACCUGCCUGGUAGCGGGGGAUAAUUAUUGGAAACGAUAGCUAAUACCGCAUAAUAUUAAUUAUUGCAUGAUAAUUAAUUGAAAGGUGCAAUUGCACCACUACCAGAUGGACCUGCGUUGUAUUAGCUAGUAGGUGAGGUAACGGCUCACCUAGGCGACGAUACAUAGCCGACCUGAGAGGGUGAUCGGCCACACUGGGACUGAGACACGGCCCAGACUCCUACGGGAGGCAGCAGUAGGGAAUCUUCGGCAAUGGACGAAAGUCUGACCGAGCAACGCCGCGUGAGUGAAGAAGGUUUUCGGAUCGUAAAGCUCUGUUGUAAGAGAAGAACGGGUGUGAGAGUGGAAAGUUCACACUGUGACGGUAUCUUACCAGAAAGGGACGGCUAACUACGUG
Molecule: ribosomal RNA, 505 nt
Filed under: uncultured bacterium
Lineage: Bacteria
Description: partial 16S ribosomal RNA
Rfam family: Bacterial small subunit ribosomal RNA
Source: RNAcentral